Non-coding RNA from Paramuricea clavata, 384 nucleotides. The record is from the annotation of a GenBank genome assembly. NCBI's taxonomy places the organism in Eukaryota, Metazoa, Cnidaria, Anthozoa, Malacalcyonacea, Plexauridae.
GGAAGCUGCUGGUUGUCCUGGCCCCUUCCAGGUUUCCUGUAUAUUCCAGGUUUUUUCUGGCCUCCCUGACUAUCCAGCUAUAGUAUGAGUGAUGGUAACGCCCAAAUAUAUGUCUAACUAUCAUCUGGCAGCAGCUGUCUUGUAUACAAAUACAGCUGUGGUGGGAGUUCGUCUAUGGGGAAUACACAUGCUGUGUAUUUGUGGGGUUGAAGUGUUCCCAAUGGUCAACUUCAGGCCCAUAGACUCAGGUUAUUUAUGUAAAUAUAAUCAGUCGAAUCAUAGGUACUGUCCAGGGGAUUAUCACCCCUUGGUUCAGGUCUAUAUCAGAGGGGGUCGCUACCCUUCAGGCAGAGCUCCUAUGGAGCAUUCAGUCUCUCCUAGCAG